AGUCGAGCGAGACCUUCGGGUCUAGCGGCGGACGGGUGAGUAACGCGUGGGAACGUGCCCUUCUCUACGGAAUAGUCCCGGGAAACUGGGUUUAAUACCGUAUACGCCCUUCGGGGGAAAGAUUUAUCGGAGAAGGAUCGGCCCGCGUUAGAUUAGGUAGUUGGUGGGGUAAUGGCCUACCAAGCCUACGAUCUAUAGCUGGUUUGAGAGGAUGAUCAGCCACACUGGGACUGAGACACGGCCCAGACUCCUACGGGAGGCAGCAGUGGGGAAUCUUAGACAAUGGGGGCAACCCUGAUCUAGCCAUGCCGCGUGAGUGAUGAAGGCCUUAGGGUCGUAAAGCUCUUUCGCUGGGGAAGAUAAUGACUGUACCCAGUAAAGAAACCCCGGCUAACUCCGUGCCAGCAGCCGCGGUAA
This 417-nucleotide ribosomal RNA is filed under the name uncultured Roseobacter sp. RNAcentral's name for it is "bacterial SSU rRNA". It matches the Rfam family "Bacterial small subunit ribosomal RNA", at positions 60 to 523 of the family's 1533-position model. Lineage: Bacteria; Pseudomonadati; Pseudomonadota; Alphaproteobacteria; Rhodobacterales; Roseobacteraceae. The record is from RNAcentral.